UGAGAUUUUUCCUUAUCUUUGGAGAGCCACCACUCCAGUGCAAACUUUCAAAUAAUGCCUUGCCAUUUUUAGUUUCCCUCCCUAGGACUCCUGGAACCAUAGUUCAUAAAAUUAUCUCACAGCGUGUGUUUUAUUCUUACUUCUGUUUGCUUUAAGGCCUCUCUGGAUGGUGACUAUAACCUAUAGCCUUGCCCAAUAUGACUCAGGAUUUGGUACUGGCUGUGCCUUUCAUGGGAUGCUUACUUAUCCUGGUCGAUGGCCUAAAGCCCAACCGUCCAGCUUAUAUCCAGGGUCUCAAGCCACCCAGGCUGGAGUGCAGUGGCACAAUUAUGGCUCACUGUAGCCUCACCUUCCUGGGAUCAAGCAAUCUUCUUUCUUCAGCCUCCAGAGGAGCUGGGACCACAGGCAAGUGCUACCACAUCCAACUAAUUUUUUGAUAAUUUUUUGUAGAGAUAAGGUCUCACUAUCUUGCUCAGGCUGAUCUCAAACAACUGAGCUCAAACAAUCCUCCCAACUUAGCCUCCUAAAGUUCUAGGAUUACAGACAUGAGCCACCGUGCCCAGUGAGGACAUUACAGGCAUGAGUCACUGUGUCCAACGAGGCCAUUGUUAAAGAUACAGUCGACAAAGAAAUCUGGUCAUUUCUGUGGCACAUAACAAUUCAAUGUAAUAAUCAUAAUUAUUACUGAUAACAUAUGCUAAGACCUAUUAGAAUUAUAGGAACCAUAUAAUUUUGGAAUACAUACUAAUAACAUAUUUGUAUAAAUAUAACCCAAAGAAAGUUAAACAUGAUUUUGUAUUUGACAGUGUUUUCUGUAGGUUAAUAUACCAAAUAAGCCAAACAUAUCUCUUUUGGACUUCAGGGGACCUAAUACUUAAAAGGCUAAUGAGUUAAAAUAAAAAUUCUUAGUUUAUAAUUUUAUUUUUCAAAGUGUGCAAAUAUUAAAGGUUUAAAACACUUCAUAUCACGAAAUAGAA
This 977-nucleotide long non-coding RNA is filed under the name Homo sapiens (human). Its description in RNAcentral is "Prader-Willi region non-protein coding RNA 1". Lineage: Eukaryota; Metazoa; Chordata; Mammalia; Primates; Hominidae. The record is from RNAcentral.